AUUAGGGUUCGAUUCCGGAGAGGGAGCCUGAGAAACGGCUACCACAUCUAAGGAAGGCAGCAGGCGCGCAAAUUACCCAAUCCUAAUACAGGGAGGUAGUGACAAGAAAUAACAAUACAGAACCUCACGGUUUUGUAAUUGGAAUGAGUUAAGUAUAAACCCCUUAACGAGUAUCAAUUGGAGGGCAAGUCUGGUGCCAGCAGCCGCGGUAAUUCCAGCUCCAAUAGCGUAUAUUAAAGUUGUUGCAGUUAAAAAGCUCGUAGUUGAUUUUCUGUUAAUUUUUAUGUAUAAUAUUGCGAUAUUUACAUAAUAUUAACAUAAUUCACAUUACUUUACAGUAUGUGGAAUUUUACUUUGAGAAAAUUAGAGUGCUUAAAGCAGGCUAUUGCCUUGAAUACUCCAGCAUGGAAUAAUAUUAAGGAUUUUUAUUCUUCUUAUUGGUUCUAGAAUAAAAAUAAUGAUUAAUA
This 467-nucleotide ribosomal RNA is filed under the name Cryptosporidium sp. pig genotype II. Its description in RNAcentral is "SSU rRNA". It matches the Rfam family "Eukaryotic small subunit ribosomal RNA", at positions 369 to 874 of the family's 1831-position model. Lineage: Eukaryota; Apicomplexa; Conoidasida; Eucoccidiorida; Cryptosporidiidae. The record is from RNAcentral.